UGGUGUUCUAGGUCUUAGGGAUCAAAAAAGAUGAAGACCACAAGAUUUUAGAAGUUUACUCUCUGGUAGCGAGAGACACGUGAACAAAGAAGUGAAAUGCAAUCUUAGGUGAAUCUUCAAGAUUGAUCCAGAGUUCAGUUUGGCUCAAAGAGGGACUGGUCAGUCCUGGAGAGCAGAGGUGGGAGGCUUAAGAGAGGAGAUGCUUGUUGGACUGAGUCUAAAAAACUGAGGUGAGCAGAAUCAAAGCCGCAAACCCUCAACAAGGGUGCAAGAUGUCUAGAAGAACAGAGGAAGCCAUUUAAAAUGCUCAAAAAAUAAAAUGAAAUAAAAUCAGAGACCAGUGGG
This 345-nucleotide long non-coding RNA is filed under the name Equus asinus (donkey). RNAcentral's name for it is "lncRNA (ENSEASG00005026871.1)". Lineage: Eukaryota; Metazoa; Chordata; Mammalia; Perissodactyla; Equidae. The record is from RNAcentral.